RNAcentral lists this long non-coding RNA (875 nucleotides) under Homo sapiens (human). Its description in RNAcentral is "HSALNT0326203". Lineage: Eukaryota; Metazoa; Chordata; Mammalia; Primates; Hominidae. The record is from RNAcentral.
UCCAGGCAAAAUUGCUGUCUUUCCUUCCCCAGGACAUCUGAACCAGGUCUAGUUGAAGCAAAGUUGGUUGACAACUCAUGCCUCUUGUCCUGGCCUGUUCCUCCAGUCUCUACAGCUGUCACUGAAGUUCAAUCUCCAUUAACAAGUUGUGUUUGUGCUCCCAUGCUCCUGUAUUUAUAAUCAUCUGGCAGAGGCAUAAUAGAUCAGAGGUUAAGAAGCACAGCCUUUGGCAUUAGAAAAACCAAGAUUCAAGGUUCAAUCCUGCUACAUAAAAGCUGUGUAACUUCAGAGUCAUAGGUCGAGAACUUAAAGAAUACCUCACCAUAUCUCUUCACAUAUCCAUGAAGAAACUGAGGUGCAAAGAAGUUAAGUGAUAAACCUGAAGCCACACAGCCAGUUAAAGUUAAGACUUCUAAUAAAAUCCCAAUGGUUAACUUCAGGACCAUAACCAAAGGUAUCCUAGUUGCUACGGGGGGCAACCUUCCACAGGCUACAAUUGCUAUUAAUCCAGACCCAUGUGCACAGCUUCCUUGUGAUUCCCUACACCUUUUUAUGAGAACGUAAUCUCAACUGCCGGAAGUUGCCCUGUUGACCCUGAAAAGGCUGCCAAGUGGGUGUCCCGGAAGCCUACUGAGUACAAGUUUAAUAUUUUCUGUUAAGCAACUCACAGCAUUUAAGCCGCAGUUGUGGAAAUUCUCAAGAAAGCUCAUUCUGUAUGAAUCAAAUUUCUGAAGCGAUUCUCUUCCAGGGAACUGCAAUCAAUCCUGUCCGGACUUCACUUUACAUAGCUCAUUUUUUGAGCCUUCAUCAUACACAACAUUCACUGCAAAAGAUCCAAGGGAGCCACACUUUCUGAAGGAUGCUAUUGUUGCUCA